GUGCUCACUUUGGCAAUACAUGAUACUAAUAUUAGAACGAUACAGAGAUUAGCAUGACCCCUGUGCACGGAUGGUAUGCAAAUUUGUGAAGCCUUCCAUAUUUUU
This is a small nuclear RNA of Rhinolophus ferrumequinum (greater horseshoe bat), 105 nucleotides long. The record is from Ensembl. Lineage: Eukaryota; Metazoa; Chordata; Mammalia; Chiroptera; Rhinolophidae.